Molecule: non-coding RNA, 46 nt
Filed under: Trichobilharzia regenti
Lineage: Eukaryota; Metazoa; Platyhelminthes; Trematoda; Strigeidida; Schistosomatidae
Source: RNAcentral
GUACUCCUGAAGAGUCCCAAACUAGGACGAAACAGUUGUCCAGUAC